Molecule: unclassified non-coding RNA, 352 nt
Filed under: Hevea brasiliensis (rubber tree)
Lineage: Eukaryota; Viridiplantae; Streptophyta; Magnoliopsida; Malpighiales; Euphorbiaceae
Source: RNAcentral
UAAGUAAGAAAAAGAAAAGGAGGAGAGUAUGGCAUUCAUUAAUAGUCAACUACACUCUAUGGAGUAGCCAGAACCAAUCAAAGCCUAUCACCCAUGUUAUCCAACAUAAACAAUCUGCGAUGUGAACUGUGCAUGGUGGCUGCAUCCACACAUGACAGGCCAUCAUCCAAGAAUAGCACAUUUCUUCGUGAAUUUCUUUGCACCUCACCAAUUCCUUUGAUCAUCAACUGCAAAAGAAACCGCAUUAAUGCAGAGGAAUGCCACCGCCUGAAUAUUCAACCUCCUGAGCAGGAGGCAAGGAUGAGACCCAGUCUGAUGCAUGCGUUGGAAGAAGCCCCAAUGUGUUAAGCUU